RNAcentral lists this unclassified non-coding RNA (2030 nucleotides) under Daphnia magna. Its description in RNAcentral is "uncharacterized LOC116920427, transcript variant X5". The record is from RNAcentral. Lineage: Eukaryota; Metazoa; Arthropoda; Branchiopoda; Diplostraca; Daphniidae.
UUGCUUUUUGUUUGCUAAAACAGUGUACGAAACGAUGCUUGACCUAUUCUUUGAUAGACAACUCUUGUUCUCAAGUUAACCAUUUAUUUCGAUAAUUUUUAGAUAACUUGCCAUACCAUCUUGCAGUCGAAGACAACAAGCGAAGGAUUAGAAUAUACCACGCCCCCAAAGAAGGAGGAGUCUACUAAAUAUUACAUUUGUCGAUCAAUUGUUAUGCCGAUUUCGUCAAUCAGAACAGUCAAUGGCGACGCGCCGUUAGAACGGCCACAUGAGCGAAUGCGAUUGAAGCGUUGUGCACGUAUCAGUCAUUCAGAGCUACGAUUGCGCUGUGGUAGUGCUUGGAUGCAUUGCAAGGAAAUUCCAUGACAUCGCCAUACUGAUUAUUUUCUCCUCAUCUACGAUACCUAAGGAAGAAACUACUGCUGUAGAACUGUCAAAGCUCAAAAAAAAAAUUCCAAUCAACAAUAUGAUAGAUCAACCUCAGAUUUAUGGUGACACUUGGUUGUUAACCAUGGAAUCCUGAUCAGUCAUCUGCGAGUGGGAAUGUACUUGACAGCAAUUUUUGGCCCAAUAUUCUGGGGCUGAGAAAUACCUUGAGGAAAGUUCUACAUUACAUAUUUGGAACCUCUUAGAAUGGCAAAACCAAUCUAUCAAGCUUUUAACUUCAAAGUUGAAGUACAUAGUAGAAAUGGAACAAGACACUGGAAGGUUUUGGUGUUCGACACUUGUUAAAAAUGAUAUGCCACUAAUGUUUCAACCCUUUGUCAUUGAGGACUUGCCUUAUGCUUAAUACUGCCUUGCGAAGAAAAAGGAUGACGUUUGCUGGCACUGUUUGGUAGCUAAAGGGAUUGUUAAUCAUCUAUUUGAACAGUGUAUAGUGGCGUGUGUUUCAUUCUGCAUCCGGCCUAUCUAUUCCUAAACGGUUGAUGAAUUUAAAAUUUCAUACCUCCGUUGACAAAGUCUUUACCAGCAGCUGUCCAACAAGCGUACUCGAAGCGACAAUAAGCAAAUGAUGGCAAAGAAGAUGUGAAAUUGAUUGUUUAUCAAACAUGAUUGUACAGUGCCAGUCCAUAUAUUUGUUAUACUUUGUUAAGAGUGUUAAGGAAGAUAUUGGUCGUGGCUGAUGUAACCAUUGACAAGGUAUUUCACUACCUUGAAUGAGUGUAUUAGCAAGAAUUUUUUUAUGCAUGUUUCCGGAUUGAAAACGCGACGUCGGAAGAAGAGCGUCUUUUCUGGAAGAACUGUCCAGUCUUAACCAGUAUCUUGCCUAUUCGCACUGUCGGUAUUCAGGUGCAGGAGGUUGCAGAAAAAUGUGUCGGGUAUGGCAAACAAAGCAGAGGGAAAUCUGCCACAUUUUUCUGCAAUGUACUGUACAACAGAUUUGAAAUUUAGUCGUUUUCGUAAUAAUGCCGUGUUCGUAAUCAGCUUUUAUUCAAGGGAGACGAUAGGGGUCACCGCAUCUAUGCCAAUGUUUGUUUUUUUUUCUCUUGUCUAGAUCUUUUAAUGGGUAGUGGUAUGUUCUUGAUGCUCGUCUUAUCGAAAUAUUUAUUUAAUUUUGUUAUUUUUUACGAUUGUGUCAUUUAUGACAAAGGGUCUUUGUAAUCAUGGCCAAUGGCCUGAGCUGGAUACCGACGACUAUGCCGCCCUUCGCCUUCUCCAGAAAGAAAAUGCGAUAGUUGCCAUAUCUACUGGAAGUCAACACCAAACUCUGAAGGUGGUUGUUAGAAAUCGGUAACACGUGGGAGUUGCAGACGAAGUACCUUUUUCCUCGUUGAACAAUAGAACACUCAAAGAGCUCCAUGUGUUUCUCAAUUUGGAUCAUCCUAUUAAUCAUAUGUCCUUCCGCCACGCUAUCCCGUGAUGAGAAAUUCUUACGACAUGAUGCACUCCAACAACGCGAUGAACCCGUGGUCGUAAUUUGGCAUGAAGAAAGAAUAGGGGAGAUGGCUAAGAUAAAACGAAAUCAAAACAAGGUAACACAACCACUUUGAAUUCAAAUUACUCGUCAAAUAUAACUCGAAUCAAAUGAA